This 511-nucleotide ribosomal RNA is filed under the name uncultured bacterium. Its description in RNAcentral is "bacterial SSU rRNA". It matches the Rfam family "Bacterial small subunit ribosomal RNA", at positions 28 to 526 of the family's 1533-position model. The record is from RNAcentral.
GAUGAACGCUAGCUACAGGCUUAACACAUGCAAGUCGAGGGGUAGCAGGGCCUAGCAAUAGGUUGCUGACGACCGGCGCACGGGUGAGUAACACGUAUCCAACCUACCUAUCAGUAAGGGAUAGCCCAUUGAAAGAUGGAUUAAUACCUUAUAAAGCAGGGAUCCCGCAUGGGAACAUUUGCUAAAGAUUAAUCGCUGAUAGAUGGGCAUGCGUUCCAUUAGUUAGUUGGUGAGGUAACGGCUCACCAAGACAUCGAUGGAUAGGGGUUCUGAGAGGAAGGUCCCCCACACUGGUACUGAGACACGGCCCAGACUCCUACGGGAGGCAGCAGUGGGGAAUAUUGCACAAUGGGCGCAAGCCUGAUGCAGCCAUGCCGCGUGUGUUAAGAAGGCCUUAGGGUUGUAAAGCACUUUCAGCGGGGAGGAAGGGUAUAGGCUUAAUACGUUUAUACAUUGACGUUACCCGCAGAAGAAGCACCGGCUAACUCCGUGCCAGCCGCCGCCGUAAUAC